AAGUCGUAACAAGGUUUCCGUAGGUGAACCUGCGGAAGGAUCAUUAACAAAUAAAGAAUCUCAUAUUCUUAAACCCCAUUCUGAGUACUUGUACUUGUUGCUUCCGUGGUCAGUAAGCAUCGUGCUUGCAUCUACCUUCAUGGUCGAUCCACGGAAGGUAUACAAUAAACUCUGUUAUAUUGUGGUAUCAGUCUGAGUAUGUUCAAGUUAUAAAUGUUAAAACUUUCAACAACGGAUCUCUUGGUUCUC
Molecule: unclassified non-coding RNA, 249 nt
Filed under: fungal sp.
Lineage: Eukaryota; Fungi
Description: partial internal transcribed spacer region
Rfam family: Eukaryotic small subunit ribosomal RNA (bases 1-46)
Source: RNAcentral